RNAcentral lists this ribosomal RNA (253 nucleotides) under uncultured bacterium. Its description in RNAcentral is "partial 16S ribosomal RNA". It matches the Rfam family "Bacterial small subunit ribosomal RNA", at positions 524 to 776 of the family's 1533-position model. The record is from RNAcentral.
UACGUAGGGGGCUAGCGUUGUCCGGAAUCAUUGGGCGUAAAGAGCGUGUAGGCGGCCAGAUAAGUCCGCUGUGAAAACUCGAGGCUCAACUUCGAGCUGUCGGCGGAAACUAUCUGGCUAGAGUCCGGAAGAGGAGAGUGGAAUUCCUGGUGUAGCGGUGAAAUGCGCAGAUAUCAGGAAGAACACCCGUGGCGAAGGCGGCUCUCUGGGACGGUACUGACGCUGAGACGCGAAAGCGUGGGGAGCGAACAGG